Pan troglodytes (chimpanzee) is the source of this 12452-nucleotide long non-coding RNA. RefSeq lists it as uncharacterized. NCBI's taxonomy places the organism in Eukaryota, Metazoa, Chordata, Mammalia, Primates, Hominidae. The transcript has 4 exons. The record is from RefSeq and is a predicted model, not a curated record.
GGAGUUUGUUAUACUGCAAGUAUUAGGGAAAACAAUUCUUCCUUCCUGGGUUGGUAAGCAUGUGACCUCAGUCUUCAGGGUAUGCAGUAAAGGAUUAACUUUGCCCUGAAGAGGUUUGGCCCUUUUGCUCCCAGCUGCAGGGCUGUAAUUUCUAAGCCCUUGGAAUGUUCUGCCUGUAGGAGUGUCUUUGUUUACCGGAGGUCUUGAGCAAUACCAGAUAGUCUGUGCUAACAAUGUAACUUUUGGUGGGGGACCUUUGGACAUGUGGUACCACUCAAGCUCCAGAGGGGUUAGAGACAGGGUAGUCACAUGGGUGAACAGAAUGUCCGAAUGGCCAACUCCCAGUAAAAACUCUGGACAACAAAGCUUGGGUCCUAGACAGUGCAAUACACAAAAGAAAUAUGAGCUAUAAUUAUUGGAAUGAAGAAACUGUCAUGAUUACAGAGGGAGAGGAAAAGGCCCAACACCUGCUUGUCAGGGCUCCUGGAUCACGCCCUGCUGCCUGCUGACCUAUAUUGGACUCAAGCCCUUCUUCUGGCAUGCUCACCUGUUAACCCACCUAUCAGCCCACACCUCUGACUGCUGGCUGCUCCCCAUUGAGCCUGAAAUACUGUGCUAUCUGCCUGUACCCUUUUGCAUAAGCUGGGGUUGGGUUAUCUCAGAUUUCUACCUGGGCCUGGUCAAGAUUGCCACAUACCUCACCUCUUCUGUUCUGGUCCUCAUCCUGUGUUUCUGGACAAAAAUAACAUUUGAGUAGAAAGCUUUUCUACUUGUUGACAUAGUUGAACAGAUUUUGCUUUAUUGAGAUGAAAUGGAGCCUAAAUUUAUCUGGAAAUGUGUGGAAUCAGUAGAGAGAAGUAAACACAACUCGAAGAAAGCGGGAAACCCCUGUGUACAAUUCAGCUUUUUCACUCCCAGGGAGUUGGGCAUGAUCGUAAAGAAUGAUGUUUUCAAGCCUGCCAAUAACAGAACACGUCUGUAUCCAUUGUGGAUGGGCUUCUGUUGAGAAAGCUUCCUUUUCGCCCAAGUAGAGGAGCUCUUCACCGCCCUAAGAUCCUGCUUUCCUACUCCCAUGUCAGAGCAGGAAAAGGUGAAUAUUUUUCACACAGAAUAGCCUCAUCCACUCCUACGGGGAGUGAGAUAGUUCCUGUAGGUUGCUAGUGAUGGCGUAAAAUUACAGCUCACUAGAGAAACAGUUGCAAGUAAAGAAAUAUAUACAUUUCCUCUAUUUGUGUUUCCUGUCUGUGUUGUCUAAGUUGCAAACAACAGACUCCACUUUAGCUAGGUUAAAGGGAAAAGAGGUUUAAUAAAGAAAAUUAAAUAGCUUAUAGAAUCACUGGGGAACUAGAGAAACAGAUUUAAGGCUAAGCUUCCAGAAACAUAUCCCAAAACAUGCCCCCAAACCAUGACACUGACAUGAAGAGACAGUUGUCAUUGCUGCUUUAUUGAACAGAGGACUGAGAAUUUUUCUACAAUCACUGCUGUUCUCUGCACUGAUGGAAGCCAAGCCUGCCUGGAGAACUCAACUUUGCAACCCAAAGCUGGUGGCUAAUGUGGCUACCCCUACCAACAAAAUGGAAACUCCACCACGUGUCUGAAUCCAGCUCUCACGAGACUGCAUCUUGCUAUGUUGCCCAGGCUGGUCUUGGACUCCUGGCCUCAAGCACUUCACCAGCCUCAGCCUCCUGAAGUUCUGGGAUUACAGGCAUGAACCACCAAGCCCAGAAAAGAAAGUCCGUUUCUUCUAAAAAUGGAGAGGGAUUUAUUGAAUAUAUAUCAUAGCAUGUCAAGACAGCUAAGAUCAUCUUAGUAGACUCAUUUUUAGAAAAGUCAACUUUAUAUAGGUAUAAUUUACAUAUAAAAUGUAUUCAUUUUAAGUGUAUGUUUUGAUGCAUUAUAAUUAAUGUAAAUGAUCAAAAUACUUAACAUUUCAAUCGUCUCCAAUGCUUCUUUUAUGGACCUUCCUGGAAUUUGCUGUAAGUUCUUUUGUGUCUGGUAUCUUGACUCCACAUAAUAGUCUUGAGAUUCAUCCAUGUUUUUGCAUCUGUCAGUAGUCUAUCUCUUUUAGCUGCUGAGCAGUACUCCAUUGUAUGGUUGAAGUACAUUCUGUUUAUCCAUUCACUUGUUGAUGGACAUUGGGGUUAUUUUUGGCUAUCAUCAUUAGAACUGCCAUGAACAUUCCUGUGUAAGUCUUUUUGUGCAUAUAUAUUUUCAUUUCUUUUGGGUAAAUACCUGAGAUUGGAAUUGCUGUAAUUGGAGGGUUAUAUGGAGAAUAUAUGCUUAACUUUCUAAGUUAUUGCCAUCUCUUUUCCAAGUGCUUUUAUCAUUUUACAUACCAAUACUGUUUGUACCACAUCCUUGCAAACACAUGUUGUCAGUGUUUUAGAAUUUUAACUGUUCUAGUGUGUGAGUAGUGGUAGCUCAUUAUGGUUUUAAUUUGUAUUUUCUGGAUGACUACCGAUAUUGACUAUCAUUUUACAUGCUUCUAUGAAAUAUCUGUUGAAAUCUUUCAUCCACUUUUAAACUGGGUUGCCUUUUUAUUAUUGAAUCAUAAGAGUUUUUUUUUUAAACAUAAAUUUUGGAUACAAAUUUUUUGUCAUACACAUGUACAACAAAAAUUUUCUCCAAGUAUUUAAUAGCACGAGUCAUCAUCAUCAUUUUCAAAAAUUUCUCAGUUGUUUUUAACUCUUUAUUUCUUCAGAUGUGUUCUAUAAUGAUUUUGUUAAGCUUAGAAAAAAAUUACUGUGGAGAUUUAACUAGAAAUGAUUAAAUUUAUCAAUGAACUUGUGAAAAGCUAGACAGGUUUAGGGUAUCGUCAUCCCUUCCUGUUGAUUCAUAUAACUUUCCAUUUAUUAAGCACUUAGGCUUUAAGUGAAGUUUCAUGUUUUUAACGUAGUUGUGAAUAUUUUUGUUAAUGCUUAAAUAUUUUAGGGCCAAGCAUGGUGGCUCACAACUGUAAUCCUUGCACUUUGGGAGGCCGAGGCGGGUGGAUUGCCUGAGCUCAGGAGUUUGAGACCAGCCUGGGCAAUACGGUGAAACCUCAUCUCUACUAAAAAUACAAAAAAUUAGUUGGGCAUGGUGUGGGUGCCUGUAAUCCCAGCUACUCGUGCAGCUGAGACAGGACAAUCACUUGAACCCAGGAGGCAGAGGUUGCAGUGAGCUGAGACCGUGCUAUUGCACUCCAGCCUGGGUGACAAAGCAAGACUCUGUCUCAAAACAACAACAACAAAAACUACUUUAGAAAGAUACACAUAUUGGGGAAAAUGCUCAUUUUAUUUGGACACAGGAGACAUGAAUUGAAGUUUUAAUUCUGUUUUUAUAUGGCAUGUUACAUGAGCAAGUAAUUUGAGCUUUUGUGAAUUCAAUUUUUCUGCAAAUAACAUGUAUAAGUUAGCUACUGCUGUGUAACAAAACCCACCCCAAGACUCAUUGGCUUGAAAGAGUAACCAUUUAUUAUUUCUCAUGACUGUAGGUCAGCUAGGUGGUUUCUCUGGACAAGACAGGUCAUUCAUGUGUCUGUAGUCAUUUGUGGUUUGGGGAGGCAGCUCUUUGACUUUGGCUAGCCUCCUUACCUGUGUGGGAGUUGGCCAGCUGCUGGCUAGUCUAGGAUGGCUUUGUUUAGGACAACCGGUUUAUCUUUUAUGUGGGCUCUAAGGCUUGAGCUUGUUUAUUUCACAAAGAAAAGUUUCAGGAGAAAGAGUAGAAGUGUGCAACGCUUUUUGAGGACUAGGUUGGGAACUUGACCCAUGUCAUUUAUCAAUAUGAAUCUCGUGACUCACAAAGCUGACUGAGAUUCAAGGAGUGGGGUGAAAAACCUGAAAACAUAGAUGACAAACUACAAAUGGUAACUUUUUGGGAGUGAGGAAAUUAUAGGUAAUUUUCACUUUUUCUGUUUUGCUAAUAUUAAUUGUAUACGUUUUUGUACUUUAAACUUUACUGUUAUAAUCAGAAAAAUUGUACUUUAACAAUAUAUUCAUUACUUGGGAUAUAUACCUGUUAAUAUAAAAUAAUGUACUAAUUCAUUUGUAGCCUGAAUAUCAGCUGAAGUAACCCCUCUGGUUUGAGAGUUUAGCAAAAACUGACUUGAACCUUCUUUCCUAAUGUUAUGCAUGAAAUUUGCUUAAAUAAACCCUUCUUAAGAUUUCUGUGAAUUUCCAGGAGAUGAGUUGUUUUCCAUUCUGUCUCCUGUCCCUGUCCAAUUGUUUUGCUUUUUUCACAAACAGCAUGAACAGCAAGCUUUUGGGAAUGCACAGGUGUUAUUGAGGUCUUGGAGUGAUUAAUUUGCCACUAAUCAUUUAAGUUUUAAUCAUUUAAAUGAUUAGGAGUAAAUUAAAAUGUAAAUGAUUAGGGGUAAAUUAAUCACUCCCAAGUGUCCAGAAGAACCACCUAGCUGAUGUACAGUCACGAGAAAUAAUAAAUGGUUACUGUUUCAAGCCAAUAAGUCCCGGGGUGGGUUUUGUUACACAGCAAGAGCAAGCCUAUACAGGUUAUUUGUAGAAAAAUUGAGUUCAAGGCCAGGCACAGUGGCUCAGGCCUGUAAUCCCAGCACUUUGGGAGGAUCACCUGAGGUUGGGAGUUCGAGACUGGCCUGACCAACAUGGAGAAACCCUGUCUCUACUAAAAAUACAAAAUUAGCCAGGCAUGGUGGCAAGCACCUGUCUUCUCAGUUACUUGGGAGGCUGAGGCAGGAGAAUAGCUUGAACCUGGGAGGCAGAGGUUGCGGUGAACCGAGAUCAUGCCAUUGCAGUCCAGCCUGGGCAACAAGACCGAAACUCCAUCUCAAAAAAAAAAAAAAAAUUGAGUUCAAAAAGCUUAAAUUAAUUGUUCAUGUAACAUGCCAUAUAAAAACAGAAUAAAACCUUCAAUUCAUGUCUUCUGCACCCAAAUACAGAUUUUAAUUCUUAGAUUUAUUUGUAACUAAGCUUCCUUCCACCUCACUGCCCUGCCCUGUCCUGAACAGUGUUUCCACAAGUGCCCGCCCCACAGCCAGGCUGCUUGACCUCUCCACCUUCUCAAGUCUCCUUCUCAUCUUGGCCCUUCUCAUGCUGCUUUUAACCCCAAAAGUUGUUUUGUUUUGUUUUGUUUUGUUUUUCUCAUCUAGACCAGUUUGGCCAAUGUUCUGUUUUGCUGGCUCCUUCUUAAUAUGCCUUUAGGUAGAGUUCACCCUUUUAGCCCAACGGAUAUCAAUGAAAUACUUUGCUUUAAAUAUCCAGAUUGAUUUUAGAAAGAAGUAUGUGAAAUUAUUCCCUAAGGAUAGAAAUAGCUGCAGUCAUUGUAGUAUAAAAAUCAUAUAAAAAUCCUCUAUACAUGCAUUUAUUCAGCAAAUUUUUUAAAGCACCUACUAUCUUGUAGGCACUAUGCUCAGAAUAUGCUGGAAUUUGAAAGUGAGUGUUUUCCAGUCCUUAUGAAGCUCAUCAGCUAAUACUGUCUCAUUUUCCAAAGGUAUUUGGAGAAUAAAGUAUUGCUGCAAAUACCUGACUUAUAGAGAAUCUUUCAUCAAAGUUUUAAUAUUUGUCAAAAAGUAUAUACACCAGUCUUUAUGAGACAUAAUAGUAGUAGAACUUGAAAUUGAGAUGAACAAACAACAGUGAUGAAUGUUUGCAGAGCUGUCAGGGAAGAAAAUGAUUAAUUCACUAAGUAACAAUUCCUAGCUGCACUCUUACUACUGAGCAGAAACCUCUCAGAGGCCCUGAUGAAAUAAGAGGAGCCUAUACAUACUUCCCCGACCUCUAACAUCUCCCUGCCAACCAGAGAAGACAGAAUGCAUCUGUAGCAAGAAAUCAGGGAACGUUUAGAUACUACAUACUUGAUUAUGACUAUAAUUUCAAUAGCCAUGUUGAUGGAAAGACGUCUAUGUUGGCGAAAUGUCCCAAAGAAACUUUGCAAAAGAAACAGGCCUGACUUACUUUAAGACAUGUCAAAAGCAUUCUGAUCUACUCCAUAGUGGGCUUAAAAUUGGGUCAACUUGUGGAUGAAUAAGCUAGAUCACAUUUAUGUCUGAAAACUAGUCUACCAUUCAUAAAUCAUAUGAAAAUUGUUUAUUUUCUUCCUUCUUUUUCGCAUGUACCAGUCUCUUGCAUCUUUAUCCCUAUUGAAUGCUAUUAUCUUCGUAUGCCUAAGAAAAAAACCAAUUGCAAUCCAUUACAAAGAUUUUAACAAGUUAAUAAAAAAAUCUACAAAUUCCUUUAUGGGAGACAGUCCACCUUCAAGAAGGAAAGAGGUUGGGGGUGGUAGUGGAAUUCAAUAGGCCAUUCAGCGUUGAAAUGUGAACAGUAAGCCUAGUCUUUGGAUAAAUUCAUGCCAGAUUUGGCCUGCAGCUCUCACUGGGCAGUUCCCAGAUGCGAGCAGGCCUUUAGCCUGUGGUGAAGAAGCGCGGAAUAAUGCCUCUUUGAAUUAGUUUCAAAAUAGUGCUGCAAUGCAGACUGACAACUUCUGAUGCCAAAUUGCAAGAACAACACAUAAUAGCAGUCUGUUAAAAUACCCAUAGUACUACUAGAGGAUAUGGUUAUUAAUAUAAAUUAAAAACCAUGAAAAGAAACCAGAAUUAACUGGCAUCAGAUGACUAGCCUAACAGUAAGACACCAGAGUUUUUAUCAAGGCAAGGAUAUGUAAAACAAAAAAUAAUAAAAAUAUGCUGACAGUUGGAUAUAACUUGCAAUUACAUAUAGUGUUCGUCUAACAAGUUUAAAUAAAUAAAUAUAGCAUGUUUGCAAACAAACAAAAUAGAUCACUAGAAACGUACCCAUUUUACUUGGUGUAGUAUAUAAAGUAGACGGUGUAGUUGGGUGUGACUUUUAAGAUUACAAUGAGUUCUGAACAGGUCAGAAGGAUGGUAGCAGGUAACAAUUGGAAUUUGCACUGAGGCACAUGCUUGCCUGCAGUACUACCAUGAAUAUGUAUGGGAACAAGGUGUUUAUGUAGUUGAGUUGUCUUUACCUCUCAACUUGGUUUCUUUGUGAAAAAUGGCCAUCCAGGAGUAAUGCAAUUGUACGACUGAUUGCAAACGUUGCUAGCCUGUGGUUAAAGGCCAUGUACAUAAGAAACAUAUGCUGGUCCUUCUGCCUGCCCUGCUCAACCUCCAAACCCACGCCUGCCUCAGUCCUCUACUGCAUCACUGCAUCUGCACAAAUGUCACCCUGAGAGGCGAUCACCGAAAUCCUGGACUCUCAGUAUUAGUUUGUUAGGGCUGCCAUAACAAAGUAGCACAGAUGGGGUGGCAUAAACAACAGAAAUUCCGCUUCUCACAGUUCUGAAGGCUAGGAGUCCGAGAUCAAGGUACUGGCAGGGUUGGUUUUCACUGAUGUCACUCUCCCUGGCCCUUUGUCCCCAGGUCUCCACCCGGACUUCCCUCUGUGUGGAUGUCUGUGAUCUAAUCUCCUUUUCAUGCGAUGACAUCAGUCGUAUUGGACAGGGCCCGCUCUCAGGAAAGCAUUUUAACUUAAUCACUUUUUUUUCAAAACACUGUAUUCAUAUACAGUUAUAUUCUGAGCUAUGAGCAGCUAGUACUUCAAUGUUUGAAUUUUAGGAGUGCACAACUCAGCCUGUAUGUGGCAGAGGCUGAGGUGGGAGUAUCACGUAAGCCCAGGAGGUUGAGGUUGUGGUGAGUUCUGACUGUGCCACUGUACUCCAGCCUGGGUGACAGACUGAGACCCUGCUUCUAAGAAAACAAAAACAAAAACACCAAACACAGUUCAGCCUGUGACACUCUCUUUUCCUGUCUCUGCUUUAUUUCUCCUCACACGCUUACCACCACCUGAAGAUCCUUAUGUGUUGGCUUAACUGUUGUGUGUCUCUUUCUUCCAUUGGACUAUAAGCUCUCGGAGGGCAGGGCUGCCUUGACCGCCGGGGUCAUGAUGCUUAAACAAACAAGAAAUGCUAGCAAAUGCAAACAUUUGUGAAAGUCUUGGGACAUAUUCUUUGUGAUUAUCAAAGGCUUAUUUUAAAGCAAAAAACCUGCACGGUCCUCAAGUUUUACAGUUUGCAGUGGAAGUGUAAGCCUGCCAACAAUGUUUUCUUGGGAAGGACUAUUCUAUUUUACUGCAAGUAUACCCUUAAUUGCUAUUAAUUACUAUUAAUUACAAUAAUUGCUAUUUAAUACUAGUAUUGAAAUAUUUUUAAAAAGCAAAAUGAUACUACUAGAUGGGUUUAAAAAAAAUGUAACGUUCUUACUUAGCAAAAGAAGAAAAAAGAAAAAAAAAGAAAUACCCUGACACGUCUUCUAAAAUGUUGCUGGUCCUAAAGUCCUAACAGGUGGGUACCACAGUCAUCGACCUACCCUCUACCAUCAGUUAAAUGACUUUCUUUAUAUUUUUCCCAAGCCUCUCUUGCAGUGAGUUUUGGCAUGUGGGAAUUAAUUUCAUUUCUCUUUAUGCCCACAACAAAACCAAAAAAACCCCACAAAGGAAACAUAAACAUACAUACACAUAUCUUUUCUAAAUAUCUUUGUAAUUCCCUUAUUUUGCUUUAAGCUUCAGAAUUAAAGGACUCUUUUUAGUCUUUUUUUUUGAGAUGGAGUUUUGCUCUUGCCACCCAGGCUGGAGUGCAAUGGUGUGAUCUCGGCUCACUGCAACCUCUGCCUCCCGGGUUCAAGCGAUUCUCCUGCCUCAGCCUCUUAAGUAGCUGGAAUUACAGGUGCCUGCCACCAUGCUGGCUAAUUUUUUGUAUUUUUAGUAGAGACGGGGUUUCACCAUGUUGGCCAGGCUGGUCUUGAAUGCGUGACCUCAGGUGAUCUGCCUGCCUCGGCCUCCCAAAGUGCUGGGAUUACAGGCACUGUUCUAUGGAGAAGUUAAUUAUAGAAGGCAAUGCAUGACUAGAGACACUGCAGGAUAGCAGAGGUGCACUAGACAUAUUCCUUGCUUGCUUUCACUCUUUAUUUUCUCUUAGGAAAGGGUCUGCAACUUGAGCGUGUAUCAGAUUCAGGCAGUUUGCUGGUCUUUAUUUCUAGAGUUUCUGACCCAGUAGGUGUAAGAGUAGCCCAAGAACUUGCAUUUCUAACAACUGACUAAGUAAAUGCUUAUACUUUCUGGGGACCUAACUUUAAACACCUCUGUCCAAAGAUCAUGAUGGCAUUGGGGCAAUGGUCUUUGGCAUUUAUGAAGAAAGUUUCCCGAAAGUUUAGAUGAUUCUGAUGCGAGCAAGGGGCAGGGAGAUUAAGGAAAAAGGUAGAUAACAAUUACGUUAAGCCUCUCCCUCUAUCACCCCACAUUUCUGAGAGCUUCUGCUUUAGAAGGAAAUUUUUUUUUUUUUGAUGAAGUCUUGCUCUGUCACCCAGGCUGGAGUGCAGUAGCGCCAUCUCGGCUAACUGCAACCUCUGCCUCCCGGGUUGGAGUGAUUUUCAUGCCUCAGCCUCCUAAGUAGCUGGGACUACAGGCGCCCACCACCAUGCCCACCUAAUUUUUGUAUUUUUAGUAGAGAUGGAGUUUCACCGUGUUGGCCAGGCUGGUCUCAAACUCCUGACCUUAAGUGAUCCGCCCGCCUCGGCCUCACAAAGCAUUGGGAUUACAGGUGUGAGCCACUGCACCCAUCCUAGAAGGAAAUCUUAUUAGGCCAUGCUACUCCCAUGGCUACUUACAACGGUGAAGGAUGAGGCAACUAGAAAGAUAUUUAGUUUAAAAUCAUGCAUCAUAACAUUUUCCUUAUGAUGAGUACCUUCUCUAUAACUAUUUUUAAAUUAGAACAAAUAGUACAUGCUUAUUGAGCAAUUUAGAAUACUACAGAAAUCUUUAGAGUAAUUCAGCAUCACCACAGUUGCCUUGUUCUCGAUUCUCUUGAAAAGUUUUAACAUGGAUGGGUGUCUCCUGAACUGUAGAAAAUAACACCUGACUCUAGGAAAUAAAUUUGUUUUCUCUAGAAAACAAAGUGCUGGUGGGAGGGUGCUAAUGUGCUGGAGAUGCUGCCGUGAUCCUGGCCUCAUUGUCUGGAUACAGGAUGAGAGGCACAUUUACCAGGGAGUAGGGCCCUCACUUGCAUGGCGCCUUCCAAGAUCAGGGAGAGGCCCAAUCAAUGCAUUUGUAGGGUGUAUUCGUCUGUUCUCACACUGCUGAUAAAGACAUACCUGAGUCUGGGUGAUUUAUAAAGAAAGAGAGGUUUAAUGGACUCACAGUUCCACAUGGCUGGGGAGGCCUCACAGUCAUGGCGGAAGGAGAAAGGCACAUCUUAAACAUGGCGGCAGACAAGAGAGAAAAUGAGAACCAAGUGAAAGGGGUUCCGCCUUAUACAACCACCAGAUCUCAUGAGACUUAUUCACUACUACGAGAGCAGUAUGGGGGAAACCACCCCCAUGAUUCAAUUAUCUCCCACCAGGUCCCCCCAGCAAUACAUGGGAAUUAUGGGAGAUACAGUUCAAGAUGAAAUUUGGGUGGUGACACGGCCAAACCAUAUCACAGGGUAUUAGGCUUUUAUAAACUUUAUAAAACUAUAAACAUUUUUGUGUAUUUUUUUCAUAGCUCCCCUGCCUUUUCCCCUAAAUUAAAGAAGACUCAGUUUCCAUUUGGAUAAAAUUCUGACCCCUCAUAAAUAAAAUAAAUUUGAAGGAGAGGAAAAUUCACAUCUUUCACUGUAAAUAGCAUGCUCCUUUUUGUUUAUCAUGAAAAAGCUCCGGUUUACUCACAUUCCAUGUCAGUAAUUCCAUGUCAGUACUCCACCAUGUCAGAUUUGGUGGAGGUGGAUUUACCCCAUUUUACAAAGGACCGUGUAAAGUCAUUGAAGUUGUGAAAGUCUAUUUUUUUCCUGUAAAUCUAUUUUUUACAGAAUAUAAGAAACAUCAGUGAUCUGAUCUGUCCUUCCUCCUCCUUCCCGCUUCCCCCAAAAUCACAUUCCAGUUUUUACUGUCUUUGUGUCCAAAGUAAACUAGGUGACUUAUUUGUAUAAAAUGUUAUUUUGCCGCAAGAGACAGUAAUAAAAGAAAGAUUUUCACAGAAAAAAAAAAAAAAGAAGAAGCUCUUGUUGUUGGGAGGUAUUUCACUCUGUCAUAAUUUAUCUUUAAUAGAUCUAUUUAGUAUCUAUUGAGAGAUCAACUUAAUGAAGAGAUUUGUGUCUCUCAGCUUUUAAUUUAACAAUUUAAGGCUACUAGUGAAUUCACAGAUCAAAGAUUGAAGCCUUAAUUGGUCACUUGCCUUUGCAUUUUAGAGGCUGUUUAAUCAUUUGAGGGUAGUUACACUGUUGCUGUUAAUAUAAAUUUCAUGACUUUUUCCUUUGAUAUUUGUUCAAAUGCACAUUUCGAGGCAUCCUCUGCUUGCUCUCUGUCUGGUCUUCCAAUCUAACGAUACUGGUCUUGAUAGGAACUAGCAUAUCCUUAACUACUCAGAACCUCAGUCUGUCUCAUUUGUUAAUACAGAGGUGGAAAAUGAUAUUUUCUUCCCAAUACCUACCUCCAGGAUUAAAUAAACCAAGUACAUACAGCCCGAUGUCUGGCAAAUGCCAAAGUCUUCUAGUUGACUCUGCAUAAAGCAGUAGAAACCUGGAAGCUAUUCAGAGAAUUUUGACUUUGAUAAAUCAAGCCGAAUAUGUACCCUUCCCCCCAAUUAUUUGCUGAAUCAGGAAAAAUGCAUGCAUGUUUUGCAUUGCUUUGAAUAUUUGAGCAACUGCACCCAGAUAUAAAUUACUGAAUAGUUAAUGAUGCAAAUAUUGAAACAAUGCCUAUAUCUGUGAGUUAAAAGAAAAUCAGACCCCAGCAAAUUGCUAAUGGUAAAUGUAACAUAUCAGUCUUAUGAGUGAAAUGGAGUCUACAUAGUUGAUCCAGUGAUCACACAGCCAGAUUGUUCAUUCUUGUUGUCAUGUCUGGUUGACACAGAUUAUCGUCCAACUCUUUUGAAUGUAAGCAUUAAUAUCAAUUCCAAAUAUGGGUAAAGAUAAUCUUGGGGACUCUGGUAUGUACUGCUAGAUUGUCUUUGAAAUUUGUUCUUCACUUUUUACUUUAGUAAAAGACCUCAAAAUUUUAGUCAGACUUAAGGCUCUCUGAGAAAAAUAAAAGCGUACAUUUCCAGCCUUCCAUGAAGCUACAUGUGGCCGUGUGGCAAACUUCUGGCCAAUGAGAUGUAAGUAAAAGUGAUGUAGGCAACUCCCCAGUAUUUCUGCAGCAGAGACUGGAGGGCAUUGUGCUCUUCCUUCUCCCAUUCUCCACCUUUCCAGUUAAAAUGAAUACAUCAUGGAGAAAAUUGGGGCGGUCAUUUUGGACAAGGAGGUGACUUUUAGAAUGAAAGUCAAGUAUAAUAAAGCAAAAAGAUAGAAAGAGUGUGAGUUCUUCCAAACAUUCUGUAAGAGGGUCACCAGAGCCCCUUGAUUUGUUUGAAGUGGGAGAAAUUAAUUUCUUAUUUUCAUCACAGUUACUUGGAAUUUUACUGUUAUGCACAAUGCAACCUGGUCCUAACAUAUUGGUCAUAUUGCAGUUAGAUUUGGAGGUCAAGUAUAAACAUGGCCUUACAGGGAUCUUGUUGCCGCUAUUAGAAAACAAU